Molecule: long non-coding RNA, 808 nt
Organism: Syzygium oleosum
Lineage: Eukaryota; Viridiplantae; Streptophyta; Magnoliopsida; Myrtales; Myrtaceae
Exons: 4
Source: RefSeq, a predicted model, not a curated record
UCGGCUUGACUCGCGGACGACGCCGGCACCGUUCUCGCUACUUCGUCCACCAGAGUUCCCGACGCAUCUCGGACAACAACAGCUACUGCGCCCGAGUUCGAUCCUUCUAUAUAAGAGCCGUCGAAAUUCGCCUUUAAAGUUCGUUCCUUUGGAGGAUACCAACAUCGAGGUAGGGCUUCUCCUUCUGAAUUAGUUUCCUUUUCUUUGUGAUUCCACUUGCGCCAAUUACUGAGCAUAUUGUGCGCUGAUUCAACAAGGAUUUCUGGAUUGGGGCGUUUUGUUCCGGAAAAUGAAAUCGUUUCUCGCCCACCAAAUAAACCACAGAACAGCCGCAACAACCUCGAACGACGAAUUCGCCCAAAUCAGCGAGGUCCGAGGGCAAAGCAAGAACAAGUGUUCUAUUGUCUCGGGUUUUGAGCUGCAAAAGGGGCACAAGGCUUCAGGGAGCUCUACUGGCCAAGUAAGGGCCAUUGCAUUAGAAUGAAAACCUUCCGUUAUUGGUUCAGCUUCAUUAAUAGCCAUGCCAACUUCAGUAACCCAUAAAUUUGCAUCCAAAAGGCACAAGAAUCAAAUGCGAUACGAUGGGGAGGUGUGCUUAGCUCCCAAGGUUUUAAGACAAGAAGAUGUCUCGAAAAAGACCAAGGGCCAGAAUUUAAUAUUCUGUCUUUCUCCUCUAUUGAAGGGAACUCAAAGGAGAAUAAGCCUAGUUGAAGAUGCUUGCACGCAAUACUUGUUGAUUUCCAUGCUUUUAACAUCGUAGAUUGGAAAGCUUGGAAGUUGACAUUAGGGUUUCCGUACAGACUACCAA